GCAAGAUAAGGAUCCAAUUACCUAGAAGAAAGGCGUUUUUACAUCCUGAUCGUGCUGACCCAUCUUGCACCUGCAAAAGAAGGGAAUCACCUGUUUUCUUCUCUUCAAUUAAGCAGGAGAAGCUUCUUUCGAUCUCCUCAUCGGAAUCGACAAUAACUCUAUAUUCCCUUUCCAGCACCAGGCACUGCUAAUAUUCAAGUUGCUCGAAUGCAAACAUUUGGAGACGCAGGUUGGCUGAUAGUAAGUGGGAAAAGUGAGAUGCUUGUACUUGCUUUUCCAAUGCAGAAAGAACAUCAGAUAUCUCAUGUACCCUUUCUUGGUAUGCAUCGUUCUUAAGUUGAUC
This is a long non-coding RNA of Cucurbita pepo subsp. pepo (vegetable marrow), 343 nucleotides long. RefSeq lists it as uncharacterized. The record is from RefSeq and is a predicted model, not a curated record. NCBI's taxonomy places the organism in Eukaryota, Viridiplantae, Streptophyta, Magnoliopsida, Cucurbitales, Cucurbitaceae.